CAUCAAGAUACAUCGAGCAGAAUAUGAUAUACUUCAUAGCUAUAUAUACUUCCGUUAUAGAUCCUUCAGGCCGUAUCUUAUUGCGCACAUAUUUAUUUAAGGUAUAUAAGAAUCUGUAAAUAAAAAUAAAUUUAAAUUUAACUAAUAUAUUUAUAUCUUAUAACUGAUAUGACAAAGAGAUUAUGAUUACUUUACCUUUCAAUAUGAUACAUUCACCAAUAAUAUACCGAUCCGAUCAAAAGAGCUUUUUUUGGGAGAUGAAUAGUCAGGUGCACUAUAACAUCAAAAAAUGAUAGCAGAAAAUUUUUUUUCAACUUAUAAAAAAUGAGCACAAUAUCCUUCUCAAAUAAGUUAAUCUUCAAUUUUCAGUAAUAC
RNAcentral lists this long non-coding RNA (375 nucleotides) under Elaeis guineensis (African oil palm). RNAcentral describes it as "long non-coding RNA (EGUI_LNC024620)". The record is from RNAcentral. Lineage: Eukaryota; Viridiplantae; Streptophyta; Magnoliopsida; Arecales; Arecaceae.